AUCAAGGUUGACAUAAUGCAGUGUUUCCAUGGUCUCUGUCACGUGGAAGAAAAUAUUCAAAAAAGCAAUAUUCAUAAAAGCAUCAGAUAUACAUUUAAAGAAGAAAGUUAAUUUGGAAGUAUCAACAUGGAAUGUCUACAUGUUUAUCUUGGAAUGAUACUAUACUUCGCAAGUGUAUAUAAACGUUGCUUCCAAAUUGAAUGCAAAACUUCAUCACGUCCAGCCAGUGUCAUCGGAAUACGAGAACACAAAAACGAAGAAAUCUUUGUCUUUGAAGAGAUAUCGCCUACUGUCAAACGCUUUUGGCUGCAAACUAUAUUGCGAAAAAUGAAUAUCUUGGAAAUGGUAUAAUUAAUACAGUUUA
Non-coding RNA from Paramuricea clavata, 364 nucleotides. NCBI's taxonomy places the organism in Eukaryota, Metazoa, Cnidaria, Anthozoa, Malacalcyonacea, Plexauridae. The record is from the annotation of a GenBank genome assembly.